RNAcentral lists this long non-coding RNA (215 nucleotides) under Capsella rubella. Its description in RNAcentral is "long non-coding RNA (CRUB_LNC004292)". The record is from RNAcentral. Lineage: Eukaryota; Viridiplantae; Streptophyta; Magnoliopsida; Brassicales; Brassicaceae.
UUUUUUUGGUUUAAUGUUCAAAUUUCAUUUUACAAUUAUUGAACUUUAAUUCAUUACAUUUCUUAAGUAUAAGUUUUGUGAUUAUACUUUAUCCUAGUUUAGAUUUCUGUAACUAUUAGAGGAACAUUAGAGGAACAAAAGGAACAAAAGGAACAAAAGGAAAAAGAACGAAAAGAACAGUACGUAACGGAAUAAACAAUUUUUGAGAAAUGAAA